UGCAGUCGACGGUACAGGAGAGAGCUUGCUCUCUUGCUGACGAGUGGGGACGGGUGAGUAAUGCAUAGGAAUCUGCCCAGUAGUGGGGGACAACUCGGGGAAACUCGAGCUAAUACCGCAUACGCCCUACGGGGGAAAGCGGGGGAUCUUCGGACCUCGCGCUAUUGGAUGAGCCUAUGUCAGAUUAGCUUGUUGGUAGGGUAAAGGCCUACCAAGGCUACGAUCUGUAGCUGGUCUGAGAGGACGAUCAGCCACACUGGGACUGAGACACGGCCCAGACUCCUACGGGAGGCAGCAGUGGGGAAUAUUGGACAAUGGGGGCAACCCUGAUCCAGCAAUGCCGCGUGUGUGAAGAAGGCCUGCGGGGUUGUAAAGCACUUUCUGUGGGGAGGAAAAGCUCAAGGUUAAUACCCUUGAGUCUUGACGUUACCCACAGAAGAAGCACCGGCUAACUCCCGUGCCAGCAGCCGCGGUAAUACGGAGGGGUGCAAGCGUUUAUUCGGGAAUCACUGGGCGUAAAGGGCGCGUAGGCGGUUAAAUAAGUCGGGUGUGAAAGCCCACAUCUCAACUGUGGAACUGCAUCCAAACUGUUUAACUAGA
This 600-nucleotide ribosomal RNA is filed under the name uncultured bacterium. Its description in RNAcentral is "bacterial SSU rRNA". It matches the Rfam family "Bacterial small subunit ribosomal RNA", at positions 56 to 645 of the family's 1533-position model. The record is from RNAcentral.